RNAcentral lists this ribosomal RNA (468 nucleotides) under uncultured bacterium. Its description in RNAcentral is "partial 16S ribosomal RNA". It matches the Rfam family "Bacterial small subunit ribosomal RNA", at positions 28 to 507 of the family's 1533-position model. The record is from RNAcentral.
GACGAACGCUGGCGGCGUGCUUAACACAUGCAAGUCGAACGGAAAGGCCCUGCUUUUGUGGGGUGCUCGAGUGGCGAACGGGUGAGUAACACGUGAGUAACCUGCCCUUGACUUUGGGAUAACUUCAGGAAACUGGGGCUAUUACCGCAUAGGAGCUCCUGCUGCAUGGUGGGGGUUGGUAAGUUUCGGCGGUUGGGGAUGGAAUCGCGGCUUAUCAGCUUGAUGGUGGGGUAGUGGCUUACCAUGGUUUGGACGGGUAGCCGGCCUGAGAGGCGGACAGGACACAUUGGGACUGAAAUGCGGCACAGACUCCUACGGGAGGGAGCGGUGGGGAAGAGUGCACAAUGGGCGGAAGCCUAGUGCAGCAACGCCGCGUGCGGGAAGACGGCCUUCGGGUUGUAAACCGCAUUCGCCUGUGACGAAGCGUGAGUGACGGUAAUGGGUAAAGAAGCACCGGCUAACUACGUG